This 500-nucleotide ribosomal RNA is filed under the name uncultured bacterium. RNAcentral's name for it is "partial 16S ribosomal RNA". It matches the Rfam family "Bacterial small subunit ribosomal RNA", at positions 30 to 523 of the family's 1533-position model. The record is from RNAcentral.
AUUGAACGCUGGCGGAAUGCUUUACACAUGCAAGUCGAACGGCAGCACGGACUUCGGUCUGGUGGCGAGUGGCGAACGGGUGAGUAAUACAUCGGAACGUGCCCAGUCGUGGGAGAUAACGUAGCGAAAGCUACGCUAAUACCGCAUACGAUCUAAGGAUGAAAGCGGGGGAUCGCAAGACCUCGCGCGAUUGGAGCGGCCGAUGGCGGAUUAGGUAGUUGGUAGGGUAAAGGCCUACCAAGCCGACGAUCUGUAGCUGGUCUGAGAGGAUGAUCAGCCACACUGGGACUGAGACACGGCCCAGACUCCUACGGGAGGCAGCAGUGGGGAAUUUUGGACAAUGGACGCAAGUCUGAUCCAGCCAUUCCGCGUGCAGGAUGAAGGCCCUCGGGUUGUAAACUGCUUUUGUACAGAACGAAAAGGCUCUGGUUAAUACCUGGGGCUCAUGACGGUACUGUAAGAAUAAGCACCGGCUAACUACGUGCCAGCCGCCGCCGUAA